GACAGAGGGGGCAAGCGUUGCUCGGAAUCACUGGGCGUAAAGGGCGCGUAGGCGGGAUGGCAAGUCGGUCGUGAAAUCCUUCGGCUCAACCGAAGAACGUCGGCCGAUACUGCCGUUCUUGAGGGAUGCAGAGGAGAUUGGAAUUCCCGGUGUAGCGGUGAAAUGUGUAGAGAUCGGGAGGAACACCGGUGGCGAAGGCGGGUCUCUGGGCAGUAACUGACGCUGAGGAGCGAAAGCGUGGGGAGCGAACAGG
This 253-nucleotide ribosomal RNA is filed under the name uncultured bacterium. RNAcentral describes it as "partial 16S ribosomal RNA". It matches the Rfam family "Bacterial small subunit ribosomal RNA", at positions 524 to 776 of the family's 1533-position model. The record is from RNAcentral.